Molecule: ribosomal RNA, 253 nt
Filed under: uncultured bacterium
Lineage: Bacteria
Description: partial 16S ribosomal RNA
Rfam family: Bacterial small subunit ribosomal RNA
Source: RNAcentral
UACGUAGGUGGCAAGCGCUGUCCGGAUUUACUGGGCGUAAAGGAUGCGCAGGCGGACAUUUAAGUCAGAUGUGAAAUACCCGAGCUCAACUUGGGUGCUGCAUUUGAAACUGGAUGUCUAGAGUGCAGGAGGGGUAAGUGGAAUACCUAGUGUAGCGGUGAAAUGCGUAGAGAUUAGGAAGAACACCAGUGGCGAAGGCGACUUACUGGACUGUAACUGACGCUGAGGCAUCAAAGCUUGGGGAGCAACCAGG